UCUGAAAAAAAUAGAAGGUCCAGCCUGCCCAGUGACCAAGUUAAACGGCCGCGGUACCCUAACCGUGCGAAGGUAGCGCAAUCACUUGUUCUUUAAAUGAGGACUAGUAUGAACGGCAUCACGAGGGUUACACUGUCUCCCACCUCUAAUCAGUUAAACUGAUCCCCCCGUGAAGAAGCGGGGAUACAAAUAUAAGACGAGAAGACCCCAUGGAGCUUUAAACCCAGCACCAAUUAUCUAUAAUCAUACCUUAAAAGCCCGAUAAUACUGGAUGCCGGUUUUAGGUUGGGGUGACCGCGGAGUAUAACACAACCUCCAUGAUGAAAGGCUCUCCCUUUAAUCCAAGAGUAACAACUCUAAGAAUCAAAAACUGACAUACAUUGACCCAAAUAUUUUGAUCAACGAAC
RNAcentral lists this ribosomal RNA (407 nucleotides) under Elachistocleis helianneae group sp. ABGD cluster 4. RNAcentral describes it as "partial large subunit ribosomal RNA". It matches the Rfam family "Bacterial large subunit ribosomal RNA", at positions 1824 to 2457 of the family's 2925-position model. Lineage: Eukaryota; Metazoa; Chordata; Amphibia; Anura; Microhylidae. The record is from RNAcentral.